Molecule: ribosomal RNA, 482 nt
Filed under: uncultured bacterium
Lineage: Bacteria
Description: bacterial SSU rRNA
Rfam family: Bacterial small subunit ribosomal RNA
Source: RNAcentral
GAUGAACGCUAGCGGCAGGCUUAACACAUGCAAGUCGAGGGGCAGCAUACCCGGUGACGGGUGAUGGCGACCGGCGGAAGGGUGAGUAACGCGUGAGCAACAUACCCGUAUCAGUGGGAUAAUACAGGGAAAUUUGUUCUAAUAUCACAUAAUAUUAUUCAGAGGCAUCUUUGGAUAAUUAAAGUUCAGGCGGAUACGGAAUGGCUCGCGUGACAUUAGCUAGAUGGUAGGGUAAAGGCCUACCAUGGCUAUGAUGUCUAGGGGUUCUGAGAGGGAGGUCCCCCACACUGGAACUGAGACACGGUCCAGACUCCUACGGGAGGCAGCAGUGAGGAAUAUUGGACAAUGGAUGAAAAUCUGAUCCAGCCAUGCCGCGUGCAGGAAGGCGGCCCUAUGGGUUGUAAACUGCUUUUGUACGGGAGCAAUAAGGUCUACGAGUAGAUUGAUGAGAGUACUGUACGAAUAAGCAUCGGCUAACUCCG